Molecule: ribosomal RNA, 207 nt
Filed under: uncultured bacterium
Lineage: Bacteria
Description: partial 16S ribosomal RNA
Rfam family: Bacterial small subunit ribosomal RNA
Source: RNAcentral
CGCGUAGGCGGGGAGGUAAGUCGGGUGUGAAAUCCCUCGGCCCAACCGAGGAACUGCGCCCGAAACUGCUUCUCUUGAGUCCCGGAGAGGAAGAUGGAAUUCCCGGUGUAGCGGUGAAAUGUGUAGAGAUCGGGAGGAACACCGGUGGCGAAGGCGGUCUUCUGGACGGUGACUGACGCUGAGGCGCGAAGGCGUGGGGAGCAAACG